AUUGGAGGACUUUGGGGGAGC
Molecule: microRNA, 21 nt
Filed under: Carica papaya (papaya)
Lineage: Eukaryota; Viridiplantae; Streptophyta; Magnoliopsida; Brassicales; Caricaceae
Description: cpa-miR477
Gene: cpa-miR477
Source: miRBase by way of RNAcentral